GCUGGCCGGAGAGCAGUAGCAGUGGGUGGGCUGGCCGGAAGCAGGGGACGUAGGGGUGGCUACAGCUUCUUCUUCCUCUCUUGUUUCUUCUUUUUUUUUUUUUUUUUUUUUUGAACGAGAUGGGGGCAGUGAGGAGGUCGAGCGGUGGUCGACCGGUGGUUGAAGGUCGCUGGCCGGGGAAACAGCGGUGGCGGUGGAGAAAGAGUUGCCUUGUAGUGGUGGUGGGGAAGAAGGGAAGCAAGGUUGUGGCGGGCUGCGCCAAGGAUCAUUGCUCCGAUACCACAUGGUAAGACCCUAAAGUCUUAUCGUCGCUCUAAUACCAAAUAAUAAGAUCCUAAAGUCU
This 343-nucleotide long non-coding RNA is filed under the name Musa acuminata (dwarf banana). Its description in RNAcentral is "long non-coding RNA (MACU_LNC010430)". The record is from RNAcentral. Lineage: Eukaryota; Viridiplantae; Streptophyta; Magnoliopsida; Zingiberales; Musaceae.